UGUCCUACUGUCAGUAAACGCACCGCAGUGCGGCGGUUUUCGCUAGAGGGAUUCAUACAGCGAUUCUGAGCCUUCUUGAGCCUCAUACAACAUUUCACAAGGUUGAUGCCGUGCGGGAAUACAUAGAGCAAAACUACAACAUGACCGCCAAGGAGCCGGAGCGGGAGAUCCACGAAGACAGCCCGAGGAGGCAGCUCCUAAAGCCGGGCUUCCACGAACGUUCCACACCUCUCCCCAUCGUGGCAUCCAGCCGUCGGGAGGCUCCAGUCUAUGUGUGUGUGUGUGUGUGUGUGUGUGUGUGAAAGCUCACAUCUCAACUUCAUCACACGGCGGGAGGAGUCCGCAAAGCUCUGCCCACUCGGGAAAAACACCACGGCUGACAAGGAAGGAUCCCUCCCACACAUUCACACAGUUACACAACACCGCUUUAGACAGAUUCCCGAACGGGGCGUAAAUAGCAGUGUUUUUACUGUACAAUAUUAAACAUGUACGGUUCUUCCGGUUGGUACAGGUGCCGGCCGCUAGGUGGCAGCACUCGAUGGUGGGCGUGAGAUUUAAAUACGAGGCAGCUAUUGAUUUAUAGGACUUGCUGCCAGCUGAUUCAGCAUAAACAUAAUACAGAGGGGAUUAUUUUGUCAGUUUUUCCUGAAUAUACACGACAUGGAAUUACACUCUGAUACAAAUAAAUUGACGUAAUUCACAAAGUGCACAUAAUGUAUUUUAUUGAGGCAAACCGACAUUAACUGCACAAUUGCAUGAAAUCAAUACAACAAUACAAAAGGUGUGCAAAAAUUGCUGCCUUUGAUAUGAUUUUAUUAUUAUUUUUACUCUUUUCAUAACAUAUGUAAGAUGGCUCUAAUUAACAAGUAUCUCAAUAAAUUGUAAUGGUGAUAGUUUAAUUUCAUUUGAACAUGCAUCAGAUUACAAUUGAAUGCAUCCCAUAAUCAGUUCACAGUUCCACAUGUCCGAAAGGAGUAGGAAGAAGCAAAGCUUAUUAAAUCCUACCCCUCUAUCUGGUACUUUUACAAUCAGUAACUGAUACAUUUGUUCACUU
Non-coding RNA from Doryrhamphus excisus (bluestripe pipefish), 1054 nucleotides. The record is from RefSeq and is a predicted model, not a curated record. Lineage: Eukaryota; Metazoa; Chordata; Actinopteri; Syngnathiformes; Syngnathidae.